ACAAAGUGCAUUAAUCAGCCCUUGCAGAAAUCAGAUUUGUUGAAAUAACACGGAGACAGACUGUUACACCUGCAAUAAAUCUGCCAGUUGAGAUAUAGGAAGGUUGUACUCUUUGGAAAACUCCAACCAAGCC
Molecule: long non-coding RNA, 133 nt
Organism: Nothoprocta perdicaria
Lineage: Eukaryota; Metazoa; Chordata; Aves; Tinamiformes; Tinamidae
Exons: 2
Source: RefSeq, a predicted model, not a curated record